AUACGUAGGUGACAAGCGUUAUCCGGAUUUACUGGGCGUAAAGGGCGUGUAGGCGGUCUUGCAAGUCAGAAGUGAAAUUCCUGAGCUCAACUCGGGCGCUGCUUCUGAAACUGCAGGACUUGAGGGCUGGAGGGGAUAGCGGAAUUCCUAGCGGAGCGGUAAAAUGCGCAGAUAUUAGGAAGAACACCGGUGGCGAAGGCGGCUAUCUGGACAGUAACUGACGCUGAGGCGCGAAAGCGUGGGGAGCAAACAGGAUUAGAUACCCUGGUAGUCCACACUGUAAACGAUGAAUGCUAGGUGUAGGAGGUAUCGACCCCUUCUGUGCCGCAGUAAACACAGUAAGCAUUCCGCCUGGGGAGUACGGUCGCAAGAUUAAAACUCAAAGGAAUUGACGGGG
This 397-nucleotide ribosomal RNA is filed under the name uncultured bacterium. Its description in RNAcentral is "partial 16S ribosomal RNA". It matches the Rfam family "Bacterial small subunit ribosomal RNA", at positions 523 to 918 of the family's 1533-position model. The record is from RNAcentral.